CUAAACUGUUGGGACCUAAACUCCCAAAAUCAAUACCAACCUUCCUUUUCUAGUCAUUAACAUUGUGUUUAAAUUUCAUUGAUUUCUAUUUACUUAAACUAAUGUUAUUGUGCGAAAACCAAGAAUAAUGCUUAUUUGGGCCCUUUUUUGGCCCCUAAUUCCUAAACUGUUGAGACCAAAACUCCCAAAAUCAAUCCCAACCGUUCUUUUGUGGUCAUAAACCUUGUGUCAAAAUUUCAUAGAUUUCUAUUAACUUAAACUAAAGUUAUAGUGCGAAAACCAAGAAAAUGCUUAUUUGGGCCCUUUUUGGUCCCUAAUUCCUAAAAUGGUGGGACCAAAACUCCCAAAAUCAAUACCAACCUUCCUUUUGUGGUCAUAAACCUUGUGUUAAAAUUUCAUAGAUUUCCAUUCACUUUUACUAAAGUUAGAGUGCGAAAACUAAAAGUAUUCGGACGCCGGACGACGACGACGACGACGACGACGCCGACGCCAACGUGAUAGCAAUAUACGACGAAAUUUUUUUCAAAAUUUGCGGUCGUAUAAAAAUCAGUU
This 552-nucleotide long non-coding RNA is filed under the name Mytilus galloprovincialis (Mediterranean mussel). Lineage: Eukaryota; Metazoa; Mollusca; Bivalvia; Mytilida; Mytilidae. The record is from RNAcentral.